UACGAAGGGGGCUAGCGUUGCUCGGAUUGACUGGGCGUAAAGGGCGCGUAGGCGGUUUGUACAGUCAGACGUGAAAUUCCUGGGCUCAACCUGGGGGCUGCGUUUGAUACGUGCAGACUCGAGUUCGGAAGAGGGUCGUGGAAUUCCCAGUGUAGAGGUGAAAUUCGUAGAUAUUGGGAAGAACACCGGUGGCGAAGGCGGCGACCUGGUCCGAUACUGACGCUGAGGCGCGAAAGCGUGGGGAGCAAACAGG
This 253-nucleotide ribosomal RNA is filed under the name uncultured bacterium. RNAcentral's name for it is "partial 16S ribosomal RNA". It matches the Rfam family "Bacterial small subunit ribosomal RNA", at positions 524 to 776 of the family's 1533-position model. The record is from RNAcentral.